Molecule: long non-coding RNA, 338 nt
Filed under: Homo sapiens (human)
Lineage: Eukaryota; Metazoa; Chordata; Mammalia; Primates; Hominidae
Description: HSALNT0298287
Source: RNAcentral
AGUAUUCAUGUGGAACAUUGGCCUGUAGUUUUCUUAUUUUGAUGUCUCUGUCUGAUUUUGGUAUCAGGGUAAUACUGGCCUCACAGAAUGAAAUGCUUUGAUGUCUUAAAUGGUACAUCCAAACUUAAGUGAAAUAGAGCUGUGAGGACAUUUUGGGGAGAAGUGACCUAGAUAAGCACUGACUGUUGCAUUCAUCUCUCUUCUUGCUGAUUGUGAUGAUUUCCUGUGCCAUAGCCAUUCAAAGUCUGCCAAAAAAGAGUGGAGAAGGAGCAGUUUUUCCAUUUCCCUGAAAAGAAUUGAGUGAAGUUGACAGCAGGAUUGCAGAAGUGGGAGGACCC